Molecule: long non-coding RNA, 2707 nt
Organism: Taeniopygia guttata (zebra finch)
Lineage: Eukaryota; Metazoa; Chordata; Aves; Passeriformes; Estrildidae
Source: Ensembl
GGGGGGUCCUGGGGGCUUUGGGGGGGUCCUGGGGGGCUUUAAAGGGGUCCUGGGGGGCUUGGGAGGGGUUUGGGGGGCUUGGGGGGGUUUGGGGGGGUUUGUGGGGCUUGGGAGGGGUUUUGGGGGGUCCUGGGGGGGUUUGGGGGGGUUUGGGGGGUCCUGGGGUGGUUUUGGGGUCCUGGGUGGGGUUUGGGGGUAAUUCUGGGGGGCUUGGGGGGGCCCUGGGGGGGUUCUGGGAGGUCUCACCCCCAGAGGGGAUAUUUUGGGUGGGGGGGGUUAUGUUCUAUGUUUGGGGGGGGUCUCCCCCCCAGAACCGCUAUUUGGGUGGGGGUCUCACCCCCAGAGGGGAUAUUUUGGUGGUGGGGGAGGUUUAUGUUCUAUGUUUGGGGGGCUCUCCCCCCCAUAACCCCUAUUUGGGGAGGGGUCUCACCCCGUGCCCCCCCAGGCCUGCUGCCCCGGGAACGCUCCGACAGCGGCGGCUCCGCCUCGGAGCCCCCCCCGGGCCCCCCCCCGCGGGACCGCGGGACCCCCCCGGGGGACCCCAAACCCUCCUGGGGGGGGGGCGAUGCCUUCACGACCCCCCCCGAACCCCGGGGGCUGCCCCCCGCCCUGCGACCCCCCCCCCGGCGACGACGAGAAGGGGCUGCGGUGAGUGGGGAGGGGGAUUUUGGGGGGAAUUUUCACCUUUUUGGGUUUUUCUUCCUUUUUAACCCCAUUUUUUUUUCCCCUCCCCCCCCCAGGAGUGAGACCCCCCCCAUCCGCCUGCGGGACCCCGGCGCGCCCCCCCCUUACUCCUACCCCCCCUUCGAGAACGGGGGGGGCCCCCCUUUACCCCGUUUCCCACCCCCCCCCACCGAAGACCCCUCCCCAAAAACCCCCCCCCGCCCCUGGACCCUCCCCCCGGCCGCGCCGCCCCCCCCGCGCCCCCCCGAACCCCAAAACGGCCCCGACGGGACCCCCCCCCAGAACCGCCGCCCCCCCCGGGCGCCGCCGCCCCCUCCCCCUCCCCCUCCUCCUUCAAGGACCCCCCCAAAAAGCCGCCCCCUCCCCAAAAACCCCCCAAGGAGGAGGGGGGGGGCGCCGGGACAGCGCUGGGGGGUCCCCCCAAAGAGGAGGUUGUGGGGGGGGGCUCACGGCGCCCCCCCCGCGCCCCCCACGACCCCCACAAACCCCCCCGCGGUGGGGGUGGGGGUGGGGGGGGGUCGCGCACCGAGACCCGCUGGGGACCCCGGCCCGGGGGGGCGCCCCCCCCCCCGCCGCGGCGCCCCCCACCCCCACCACGCCCAGCGGGAGUUCCGCGGGUUCCGGGGACCCCUCCCCAAUUCCGGGGACCCCCCCCCCCGGCGCGGCGGAGGCGCGGAGCGAAGGCUCCGAGUACGAGGAGGAGCCCCCCCGGCGGCGGCUCCGCGGCUCCGACAGCUCCGACAGCGGAGACCCCCCCCCAAUUCCGGGACCCCCGGGACCCCCGCCCGCCCCGGGACCCCCGCCCGCCCCGGGGCUGCCCCCCCGCGCCCCCCGCGGCCGCGUUUUCACCCCUCGGGGGGUCCCGUCCCGCCGCGGUCGUGGGGGUGCCGGGGGGGUCACCGCCACUUCCAACUGGAGCCCCCCACCCACAAUUUCCUCCCAGCCGCCCCCCCCCGUUUCUCGUGGGGGAGGGGGCUCGGAGCGACCCCCCCGGCGGCGGCGGCACGGGAGGGGGCAGCAGCAGCAGGAUAAACCCCCCCGGUUCCGCCGCUUGCGCCAAGAGCCCCCCGCCGCCCCUCCCCCCCGGGCAGCCCCUCCCCCACAGCCUUCCUCCUCCUCCUCCUCGCCGCCCCCUCCCCAAAAUGCCGCCCCCCGGCGCCCCCCCCGCUCCCCCGAGCACAACUCGGACCAGUGGGAAACGGCCUCGGAGAGCUCCGACCUGGGGGGGCGGCGGGGGGGACCCCCCGACCGCGACCCCCCCGCCCCCGGGGGGCCCCCGGCUCAAGGACCCCCUCCCCAUAAUUCCGCCGGCGCCCCUCCCCCCAGCCCCCGCCUGGCCAAGCGGAGCUUCUCCAGCCAGCGGCGCUCGGGGGGACCCCCCCCCCAAAGCUCCCCCCAGCCCGGGGGGGGCCGCGGGGCGGGCGGGGGGCGCGGCGGGAAGGGGGGCGACAAGAGGGGGUGGCCCUCGCCCCGAAAUCGCAGGUGAGGAGGGGGAUGGGGGUGGGUUGGGGAUUUGGGGAGGGGGGCUUGGGUGGAUGCGGGGUGGGUUGGGAGGGGGUUGGGGGGGUUUGGGGGGUUUUGGGGGUCCUGGGUGGGGAUGGGGGCGUUUUGGGGGGGUUUUGGGGGUCCUGGUUGGGGUUGGGGGGAUUUUGGGGGGGGUUUGGGGGUCCUGGGGUGGAUUUUGGGUGUCCUGGGUGGGGUUGGGGGGAUUUUGGGGGGGAUUUUGGGGGUCCUGGGUGGGGUUGGGGGGGAUUUUGGGGGGUUUUGGGGGUCCUGGGUGGGGUUGCGGGGAUUUUUGGGGGUCCUGAGAGGGAUUAGGGGGGAUUUUGGGGGAGGUUUGGGGGUCCUGGUUGGUGUUGGGGGGUUUUGGGGGUUCUGGGUGGGGUUGGGGGGGUUUUGGGGGGGAUUUUGGGGGUCCUGGGUGGGGUUUUGGGGGUCCUGGUUGGGGUUGGGGGGAUUUUGGGGGGGGCUUGGGGGUCCUGGGUGGGUUGGGGGAUUUUGGGGGUUCUGGAUGAAGUUGGGG